CCUACGGGUGGCAGCAGUGAGGAAUAUUGGUCAAUGGGCGCAAGCCUGACCCAGCAACGCCGCGUGAAGGAAGAAGGCUCUCGGGUUGUAAACUUCUUUUAUCAGGGACGAAGCAAGUGACGGUACCUGAUGAAUAAGCCACGGCUAACUACGUGCCAGCAGCCGCGGUAAUACGUAGGUGGCAAGCGUUAUCCGGAUUUACUGGGUGUAAAGGGCGUGUAGGCGGGAAAGCAAGGCAGAUGUGAAAACAAUGGGCUCAACCUGUGGCCUGCAUUUGAAACUGUUUUUCUUGAGUACUGGAGAGGCAGGCGGAAUUCGUAGUGUAGCGGUGAAAUGCGUAGAUAUUAGGAGGAACACCAGUGGCGAAGGCGGUCUGCUGGACAGCAACUGACGCUGAGGCGCGAAAGCGUGGGGAGCAAACAGGAUUAGAUACCCCUGUAGUC
This 443-nucleotide ribosomal RNA is filed under the name uncultured bacterium. RNAcentral describes it as "partial 16S ribosomal RNA". It matches the Rfam family "Bacterial small subunit ribosomal RNA", at positions 338 to 795 of the family's 1533-position model. The record is from RNAcentral.